This 254-nucleotide ribosomal RNA is filed under the name uncultured bacterium. Its description in RNAcentral is "partial 16S ribosomal RNA". It matches the Rfam family "Bacterial small subunit ribosomal RNA", at positions 524 to 776 of the family's 1533-position model. The record is from RNAcentral.
CACGUAGGGUGCGAGCGUUGUCCGGAAUUAUUGGGCGUAAAGAGCUCGUAGGCGGUGUGUCGCGUCGGCCGUGAAAACCUGCAGCUUAACUGUGGGCGUGCGGUCGAUACGGGCAUCACUGGAGUUCGGCAGGGGAGACUGGAAUUCCUGGUGUAGCGGUGAAAUGCGUAGAUAUCUGGAGGAACACCGGUGGCGAAGGCGGCAUCCUGGACCGAGAUUGACGCUGAGGCGCGAAAGCCAGGGGAGCAAACGGG